This 861-nucleotide ribosomal RNA is filed under the name uncultured bacterium. RNAcentral describes it as "bacterial SSU rRNA". It matches the Rfam family "Bacterial small subunit ribosomal RNA", at positions 41 to 897 of the family's 1533-position model. The record is from RNAcentral.
GGCGCGCCUAAUACAUGCAAGUCGAACGAGAAUGCGUAGCAAUACACAUGUACAGUGGCGAACGGGUGAGGAAUACAUGGGUAACCUACCCUCGAGUGGGGAAUAACUAGCCGAAAGGUUAGCUAAUACCGCGUACGCCUCCUGGACUGCGGUUCGGGAGGGAAAGCGAUACCGUGGGUAUCGCGCUCUUGGAUGGGCUCAUGUCCUAUCAGCUUGUUGGUGAGGUAACGGCUCACCAAGGCUUCGACGGGUAGCUGAUCUGAGAGGAUGAUCAGCCACACUGGCACUGCGACACGGGCCAGACUCCUACGGGAGGCAGCAGUAAGGAAUAUUGCGCAAUGGGCGAAAGCCUGACGCAGCGACGCCGCGUGGGGGAUGAAGGUCUUCGGAUUGUAAACCCCUUUCGGGAGGGAAGAUGGGAUGGGGUAACCCAUUCGGACGGUACCUCCAGAAGCAGCCACGGCUAACUUCGUGCCAGCAGCCGCGGUAAUACGAAGGUGGCAAGCGUUGUUCGGAUUUACUGGGCGUACAGGGAGCGUAGGCGGUUGGGUAAGCCCUCCGUGAAAUCUCCAGGCUUAACCUGGAAAGUGCAGAGGGGACUGCUCAGCUAGAGGAUGGGAGAGGAGCGCGGAAUUCCCGGUGUAGCGGUGAAAUGCGUAGAGAUCGGGAGGAAGGCCGGUGGCGAAGGCGGCGCUCUGGAACAUUUCUGACGCUGAGGCUCGAAAGCGUGGGGAGCAAACAGGAUUAGAUACCCUGGUAGUCCACGCCUUAAACGAUGGAUACUAAGUGUCGGCGGGUUACCGCCGGUGCCGCAGCUAACGCAGUAAGUAUCCCGCCUGGGAAGUACGGCCGCAAGGUUGA